GCUUCAGGCCGGAGAGGUUUGAAGGCAAAUCCAUUGAUUUCAAAGGAGGUAACUUCGAGUACUUGCCGUUCGGUGCUGGAAGAAGGAUAUGCCCUGGAAUGGGGUUUGGGCUCGCUACCGUACACCUAUCCUUGGCGCAGCUCCUCCUCUACUUCGACUGGAAGCUGCCCGACGGCAGGAAACCAGAGGAGGUGGAUAUGAGCGAGACCUACGGAGUUACUGUAACAAGGAAAACUGAGCUGAAGCUGUUUGCAACACCUCGUAUUCCUAUCCCUUCUACUGUUUAAGGAUUACAGUGUGUUUAAUGGAUGUUGCAUGUGAACCAAACGGGAGAUGCAUCCCCACUACCUUAUCUUCAAAAUUAUGUUUAUAUAUGUGUGCUUAUGUGCGGAUAUUUGAAUCUUAUUACAGGUUUCGCAAGGAAUGCUAUUUUCUGUGACUUUUUGUUUUCUCUCGCUACUUGAUCAUAGGCACUGAGACCUAAUAAUGAAAGUAAAAGUUUUUUCUAUAAAAGGAAAGGCAAAAAUAAACUUUACUUGAUCCUUCGCAUUGGUAUGAAUCAAAAUAUCAAGAUUAUAAGACCAGUCAUCAAAUUGGGCACAAGAAGAAAAAUUAAUAUGGACAAAAUAUGUUAGAAUUUUCUUUGCAAAAUUUUACAAUCGUUGAAAGAUUUGCACAAACGAGUGAGAGCCGUCCAUUAAUUAUUCAUUUUGAUUCUAUCUUAUUUUCCAUAUCAAUCUUGGACCUAUUCUUUCUAAAACAAGCAUUUUUUGAUAGUAAUAAUAAUAAUAAUAAUAAUAAUAAUAAUAAUAAUAAUAAUAAUAAUAAUAAUAAUAAAUACUUGAAUUUGUUCCAUCGUCAUCUCCUAUAUCGAAUCGGCUUAUGGUAUUGGGAAUAUGAGAGUAAAAGUUAUAUGUCUUUUGUAACAUUGAUUUAGAACUUUCAUUCGCAUUUUGGUCUAUGAGGAUCAUCUCAAUUUAUAUUUUUAUUUCUUUGAAUUUGGCUUAAUAGCUUUUGAAUUAGGAAAGGCUCUCUUUUCUUGGAUUAUGUGACAACUUUGCAAAAAGUGUUUAUUGCUACAGUUCUAUGGGUUUUAUGAAGUGCUGGAAAUAAUAUCAUUUUAAAAAAUUAAAUCUUUAUUCUAUUAUUUUAUUCCUCAAAACUGUCUCAUGUAUACACUCUAUGAUCAAGUCAACUAAACUUCAAAGAUCGAUCAAGCCUUGCCCUUAUCCAGUUAAAUGAAAAAAAAACUAGCAAUUGCUGGGAUCAAAUUUGAUUAUGACGAUUGUUGGGAUCAUGAAUGUGAUGGUGGCAUUGGCUUUCCUGCUAUAUGUGAUGAUGCUUUUGUUUAUUUCUUAGGUUAUAGGUAUCUUAGCAUAUGAGAUAGCAACUAUUUAUUGUGAAGUAAAGACUAUCUUAGAGGGAUUUCGCUUAGCUUUGGAGGAUGAAUUUUUUUAUGUUCACAUCAACUCAUACAUUAAGCUUAUAUUCAAUAUCCUAAGUAGAUAGUCUCCUCCUCAUGGAGAAUUUUGAAUAUUAUUAUGGCUUAUGGCCGCUUUUCACUUUGAUAUCUACUAUGAAUGAUUAUAAAAUAACAUAUGUAUUAUGUGAAGGAAAUUUUGUUGCUAACUAGUUGGCCAAUCAUGCUAGGGCCAGCAAAUUUUAUGGUCUUUGGAGCAAUUUAUUUUAUACAAACUUAGAUCUUUUGGUUUGUGUUGAUGCGAACACGGGUUUUUUUUUUGUCAAUAAAAUUCUUUAUUUUUUUUGUUAAAAAUAAUAUAUGCGAAAGAUUAUUUCACAGAAAAGAGAGUUCAUUAUGAGAGAAUCAUUAUUGAAAAUGAUAUCAAGUGAUCCAAAGAAUGCAUCAGGUGGUUGCAACAAUAGACCGAUCCAAAUAGUGGAUAUGAUGGUUGUAAUAGUCGAAUGAUGUAACAUUGUGACACAAUCAUUCAAAUGAAAAAAAUCUUUAUUGUCUUGCUAAGCAUAGUUAUUUGUGACGAUCUUAGAUACAUGAAUUAUUGCAUAUCUUGAGAUGUAAGCAUAUCUCACAGAAGACAUCCUUCAAUGAUUGGGGAGCAUUGUGGUGAUGAGGGUCGAUAACAACAAAUGGAAGAGACAAUGACUGCAGAGCCCGAGACGGCCAAUCGGAGUACAUGCCAUGUUCAAUUCCGUAAUUGCAUCAUUGUAGCCACUAUUAUCCUGCUCGAUGCUAUUAUAAACCUGCAAGCAUACAGAAGUGUGGCUUGUCCCAUUAAAAUCCAAGAUAACCCAAAUAGAUUAGUGGAUCGAACUAUGGUGCAUUCCAAAUGCAGCUAUCACGAGAACUAUGAUGGCGUCUAAAGAUACAUAAGCCUAAUCUUUGAUUAUGCUAUUUAAUUUCUAUAUUGGUAUUAAGUUAUUUUACAUGAUAAAUUUUAUGCUUACAAAGAUGUAUAAUUUAUAAUCUCUAAAAUUAUGAUCUCUUCAUACUCUCUUGGAUCUAUCUAAUCUCUCCUGUUAGAGUUGUUCUUUAAAUAAAUUUACUAUACUUUUACUUCAGCUAUCACAAGAACUCCUAUCUUGUUUAAAACUCUUCAACUCUGAGAAAUAAAAAUAAAAAUAAAACGCUUUUCCAUUUGGUUCCCAACCCCUUAUAAACAUGUAGUGGAGAGACAAACUACAGGUGGAUUAACUGACCUUGCUGUCUUAUUCAGCACUUGCACGUGCCGCACGUGGAGGGUUACCUGCCACACGUGAGCGUACAUCUAUAUAUUAGAGCUUCGGGCGAAGGCCAACGUACGAGUGAAUAGCCAAGUUUUUUGCGUCAUUUCCAUGGAGCAUCUUCUCUUGGCUUCCGUCCCCAUUGUGGUAGCCACCAUGCUCUUCUUGAUCAUCUUCAUCAAGAAAGUAUUCAGCGAGUCCGAAGCCCAAUACCCGCGACCUCCCCCUGGCCCGUGGAGGCUGCCCAUCAUCGGAUGCAUGCACCAUUUGGCCGGCCAAAUCCCCUUCCGCGCAUUCCGCCGCCUCUCUCUCACCUACGGGCCUCUCAUGCUUCUCAGAAUUGGCCAGGUAGACUUCGCGGUGGCCUCCUCCCGGGAAACCGCUCAAGAGAUCUUGAAGAACCAAGACCCCAACUUCGCCUCGCGGCCGGAGCUCGUCGUAGGAGAUAUCGUCUUCUACGGUUGCUCCGACGUUAUCUUCUCCCCCUAUGGCCCCUACUGGAAGCAACUGCGCUACAUCUGCUUCAUGGAGCUGCUCCGAACCAAGCGCAUCCGGUCUUCCGCCUCCAUCAGGGAGGAAGAGACCCUUUACUUGAUCCGAGACAUCUCCACGGCAACACAACCGAUCAACCUGAGAGAGAAGCUCCUCAGAAUGUCCAACGCAGCCAUAUCCAGGGCGGCAAUUGGCUCACGAAGCAAGCACCAGGAGACGUUCAUCUUGGUCGCCAGGGAGGUCGUCGACGUGCUUGGAGGGUUCUAUGCCGCCGACGUGUUUCCGUCGCUGAAGAUCCUCCACGUCCUGUCAGGUGCCAAGUUCAAGUUGCACAGGAUAUGCCGGAGGCUUGACAAGAUCUUAGAUGACAUAGUUAAGGUGCAUGAGGUUAAGGCCAAGAUGAACAAAGGUCGGGAAGUAGCCGAAGUGGAGGAGGACAUAGUCGAUGCGCUACUAAGGCUUAAAGACGAAUCCGAACUAGAAGUUCCGAUGACCGUGGACGGAAUAAAGGCUGUGAUCCUUGUGAGUGUUACUUCCUGUGGUAGUCGUUAGUGUCCACAAUGUACAAGAGAUCAGUGUUCCGUUAUCCAACUCUUUCGAUUCCAUGAUUCUAUCUAUAGGACAUGUUACUCGGAGGGACCGAGAACUCACCUGCAGUGGUCGAAUGGGCCAUGUCGGAGCUGAUGAGGAACCCCAAGAUAAUGGCGAAAGCACAGAAGGAGGUGAUGGAAGAGCUGAAGGGAAAGAACAGGAUACAAGAGACAGACAUCGUGGAGCUGAACUACCUCAAGUCGAUCGUUAAGGAGACACUAAGGCUUCACCCACCUAUCAGCCUGAUACUAAGAAUGUGUAGGAAGACGUGUGAGGUGCUCGGCUACGAGAUAGAAGCCGGCACUCGAGUCUUGGUCAAUGCAUGGGCGAUCAACAGAGAUCCACAGUACUGGGAAGAGGCCGAGAGCUUCAUGCCGGAGAGGUUCGAAGGCAAAUCCGUUGAUUUCAAAGGAGGUAACUUCGAGUACUUGCCGUUCGGUGCUGGAAGACGGAUAUGCCCUGGAACGGAGUUUGGGCUCACCACCGUACACCUAUCCUUGGCGCAGCUCCUCCUCUACUUCGACUGGAAACUGCCGGAUGGCAGGAAACCAGAGGAGUUGGACAUGAGCGAGACCUACGGAGUUACUGUAACAAGGAAAACUGAGCUGAAGCUGUUAGCAACUCCUCGUAUUCCUAUCCCUUCUACUGUUUAAGUAUUACAGUGUGUUUAAAGGAUGUUGCAUGUGAACCAAACGGGACAUGUAUCCCACUACCGUAUC
RNAcentral lists this long non-coding RNA (4502 nucleotides) under Musa acuminata (dwarf banana). RNAcentral's name for it is "long non-coding RNA (MACU_LNC004117)". The record is from RNAcentral. Lineage: Eukaryota; Viridiplantae; Streptophyta; Magnoliopsida; Zingiberales; Musaceae.